This 159-nucleotide ribosomal RNA is filed under the name Geosmithia lavendula. RNAcentral describes it as "5.8S ribosomal RNA". Lineage: Eukaryota; Fungi; Ascomycota; Sordariomycetes; Hypocreales; Bionectriaceae. The record is from RNAcentral.
CCCGCGCGGGAGCUGGCGUUGGGGAUCGGCCGUCCCUCAGCGGCGGCCGGCCCCGAAACGAAGUGGCGGUCACGUCGCGACCUCCUCUGCGCAGUAGCGAUACCUCGCAGCCUGGAUAGCGGCGCGGCCAUGCCGUAAAACCCCAACUCUUUCAAGGUU